UGAGUAACCUGCCCUUAACUCUGGGAUAAGCCUGGGAAACUGGGUCUAAUACCGGAUAUGACUCCUCAUCGCAUGGUGGGGGGUGGAAAGCUUUAUUGUGGUUUUGGAUGGACUCGCGGCCUAUCAGCUUGUUGGUGAGGUAAUGGCUUACCAAGGCGACGACGGGUAGCUGGCCUGAGAGGGUGACCGGCCACACUGGGACUGAGACACGGCCCAGACUCCGUACGGGAGCAG
Molecule: ribosomal RNA, 234 nt
Filed under: uncultured bacterium
Lineage: Bacteria
Description: partial 16S ribosomal RNA
Rfam family: Bacterial small subunit ribosomal RNA
Source: RNAcentral